CAGUCGCCGCGGUAAUACGUAGGUGGCAAGCGUUGUCCGGAACUAUUGGGCGUAAAGGGCUCGCAGACGGUUUCUUAAGUCUGAUGUGAAAGCCCCCGGCUCAACCGGGGAGGGUCAUUGGAAACUGGGAAACUUGAGUGCAGAAGAGGAGAGUGGAAUUCCACGUGUAGCGGUGAAAUGCGUAGAGAUGUGGAGGAACACCAGUGGCGAAGGCGACUCUCUGGUCUGUAACUGACGCUGAGGAGCGAAAGCGUGGGGAGCGAACAGGAUUAGAGACCCGAGUAGUCCCUGUCUCUUAUAC
This 301-nucleotide ribosomal RNA is filed under the name uncultured bacterium. RNAcentral's name for it is "partial 16S ribosomal RNA". It matches the Rfam family "Bacterial small subunit ribosomal RNA", at positions 509 to 807 of the family's 1533-position model. The record is from RNAcentral.